RNAcentral lists this ribosomal RNA (1179 nucleotides) under uncultured Peniophora. RNAcentral describes it as "eukaryotic LSU rRNA". The stretch from base 559 to 1179 matches the Rfam family "Eukaryotic large subunit ribosomal RNA", at positions 1 to 649 of the family's 3401-position model. The record is from RNAcentral. Lineage: Eukaryota; Fungi; Basidiomycota; Agaricomycetes; Russulales; Lachnocladiaceae.
AAGGAUCAUUAGCGAAGCUCGGAAUGCGUGUUCGGUCUGAUGCUGCCCAGCGAUGGGAUGUGCUCGGCCGGAUGCGUGUCCCUUCUCUAUUCCACCCCUUUGUGAACCAAGUGUGCGAGCCGAAGAGAGAUCGGAGGCUCGCAUGCAACCCUUAACAUACCCCAAUGAAGUAUCAGAAUGUACCUUGCGUUAACUCGCACAAAUACAACUUUCAACAACGGAUCUCUUGGCUCUCGCAUCGAUGAAGAACGCAGCGAAAUGCGAUAAGUAAUGUGAAUUGCAGAAUUCAGUGAAUCAUCGAAUCUUUGAACGCACCUUGCGCCCCUUGGCAUUCCGAGGGGCACGCCUGUUUGAGUGUCGUGAACUCCUCCACCCUCCACCUUUUUCGGAAGGCGUUGGGCUGGGAUUUGGGAGCUUGCGGGUCCCUGGCCGAUCCGCUCUCCUUGAAUACAUUAGCGAAGCCCUUGCGGCCUUGGUGUGAUAGUCAUCUACGCCUCGGUUUAGCGAACAUACGGGAAUCGCUACCAACCGUCUCGCAAGAGACAAUCACUUCAAACUUGACCUCAAAUCAGGCGGGACUACCCGCUGAACUUAAGCAUAUCAAUAAGCGGAGGAAAAGAAACUAACAAGGAUUCCCCUAGUAACUGCGAGUGAAGCGGGAUGAGCUCAAAUUUAAAAUCUGGCGUCUUCGGCGUCCGAGUUGUAAUUUAGAGAAGUGUUUUCCGCGCCGGACCGUGUACAAGUCUCCUGGAACGGAGCGUCAUAGAGGGUGAGAAUCCCGUCUUUGACACGGACCCCCGGUGCUCUGUGAUACGCUCUCGAAGAGUCGAGUUGUUUGGGAAUGCAGCUCAAAAUGGGUGGUGAACUCCAUCUAAAGCUAAAUAUUGGCGAGAGACCGAUAGCGAACAAGUACCGUGAGGGAAAGAUGAAAAGCACUUUGGAAAGAGAGUGAAACAGUACGUGAAAUUGUUGAAAGGGAAACGCUUGAAGUCAGUCGCGUCCGCCAGGAUUCAGCCUCACGGUGUACUUUCUGGUGGACGGGCCAGCAUCACUUUCAAUCAUCGGACAAGGUCGAGAGGAAUGUGGCACCUUCGGGUGUGUUAUAGCCUCUUGUCGUAUACGGUGACUGGGAGUGAGGACCGCCUUUGUAGGAUGCUGGCGUAAUGGCUUUAAACGACC